This 463-nucleotide ribosomal RNA is filed under the name uncultured bacterium. RNAcentral's name for it is "SSU rRNA". It matches the Rfam family "Bacterial small subunit ribosomal RNA", at positions 26 to 518 of the family's 1533-position model. The record is from RNAcentral.
AGAAUCAACGCUGGCGGCGUGCCUAACACAUGCAAGUCGAACGAGAAAGGGGUAGCAAUACCCUGAGUAAAGUGGCGCACGGGUGAGUAACACGUGACUAACCUACCCUUGAGUGGGGGGAUAACUGAGGGAAACCUUAGCUAAUACCGCAUAAUACCCACGGGUCAAAGGAGCAAUUCGCUCGAGGAGGGGGUCGCGGCCGAUUAGUUAGUUGGCGGGGUAAUGGCCCACCAAGACGAUGAUCGGUAUCCGGCCUGAGAGGGCGCACGGACACACUGGAACUGAAACACGGUCCAGACUCCUACGGGAGGCAGCAGUGGGGAAUUUUGCGCAAUGGGGGAAACCCUGACGCAGCAACGCCGCGUGGAGGAUGAAGUCCUUCGGGACGUAAACUCCUUUCGAUCGGGACGAUUAUGACGGUACCGGAAGAAGAAGCCCCGGCUAACUUCGUGCCAGCAGCCGC